UUUGGUGAAUGGAAGACUGAAGAUGAAGUGAUGAAGGAGUAGUGGAGAAGGUCUCUAUUUAUAGAAAAAGGGGACCAUUUGAUUUCCAUCAAGUGGCGUAAAUCCGUGAGGAAAGAGGGAAAGAAAAAAAUGACCAACGCAACGCAACGAUUGAUAGAUGACCGAUGAGACAAUGACGACGUGACGAUGGUACAAAAACCAUAGGCAUGCCUCCCAAACGGCGAUGCACGCUCCCCAAGGGAUGGCGUUCACUUCUUGAGGGCAGCGCAAGCAGGACUGUUAUUGCGAUGACGGCGCCUGCUACACACACUGGCCAAUGCCCUACGUGCAUAGGCAUGCGGAGCUGUGCAUAGACUGCAUGCUUCGCACCCUGCACGGAUGGGACAUGCAUGCGCGUGUGCACGGCUCGCAGGACUCGCUUGGAUAGGGAAAAAUUUCUUUUGGCCGUUUCUGUAGGAUUUCUCUGUCGUU
Molecule: long non-coding RNA, 471 nt
Filed under: Carica papaya (papaya)
Lineage: Eukaryota; Viridiplantae; Streptophyta; Magnoliopsida; Brassicales; Caricaceae
Description: long non-coding RNA (CPAP_LNC012945)
Source: RNAcentral